GAAAGUGUUGGAAUUCAAGGAAACAAGCUAGGUGGUGAGACGUCCGGAAAAGGCAAAGGAAUUACGCCUGAGGACUAUUAGUCAGAGUUCACCCGGAAUCCGGAUUUUCGACACCUAUCAGGUGACUGUUGGACCCUAGAUCGAGGAGUCCCCGU
This 155-nucleotide small RNA is filed under the name Theobroma cacao (cacao). RNAcentral's name for it is "sRNA Tc02v2_g019340". Lineage: Eukaryota; Viridiplantae; Streptophyta; Magnoliopsida; Malvales; Malvaceae. The record is from RNAcentral.